Molecule: regulatory RNA element, 168 nt
Organism: Clostridium cadaveris
Lineage: Bacteria; Bacillati; Bacillota; Clostridia; Eubacteriales; Clostridiaceae
Rfam family: Lysine riboswitch aptamer
About the family: Riboswitches are metabolite binding domains within certain messenger RNAs that serve as precision sensors for their corresponding targets. Allosteric rearrangement of mRNA structure is mediated by ligand binding, and this results in modulation of gene expression. This family includes riboswitches that sense lysine in a number of genes involved in lysine metabolism, including lysC.
Source: Rfam
CCUUAGGGUAGAGGAGCUGUAUUUAUAAGUAGCUUUAUUAGCGGGCACGCUGUGAUAUAAAGUGAAAGGAAAUAUAGCCGAAGGAUUAAAUUUGGCACGAAUUAAUCCUGGUUCAUCAUAGAAUAUAUGAUGAACUGUCACUAUUAUUAGUGGGGAGCUACAGAGGUA